UACAUCCUCCCUCUCCCUUAAUCCUUUAUGUUCACCCCAACUCUUGCUCAGCUCCUCUCGCCUUCUCUCCACAGAUUACACCUAUGGAGCUGCAGCCCCGACUACCACCAGCUUGCUCAUCCCUCUACUCACACAGUCACCCCUCCCCUCACUCAUUUAUGCUUCACCUGUGAAUGGUGGUCCUGGGACAGCCACUGCUGGAGCCCGGGUGAGCCUGGGGGCUCCUCCCACUCUGUCCCUCCCUGAGACAGCCCUCGCCACAGCUCCCGAGCCGGCCACCACGUCCCUGCAUACUUGAUCAUCAACUGUGCCACCAGAAGCCACCACAGCUUUGGGGCACAACCUGAAGACCCUCACAGUCACCUUCCCCAUCUCCACCCUCCAGUAUUCAUCAGACAGGAGCAACGGCUCAGCCACGUUCCACUCCACUGAGAGGGUCCUGCAGAGCCUGGGGAGACCCUGGUCCCAGCAGCUCCUGGCCUGAGAAGGAUGGGGGAGCCACCUGAGUGGACGCU
Diceros bicornis minor is the source of this 515-nucleotide long non-coding RNA. RefSeq lists it as uncharacterized. Lineage: Eukaryota; Metazoa; Chordata; Mammalia; Perissodactyla; Rhinocerotidae. The transcript is spliced from 4 exons. The record is from RefSeq and is a predicted model, not a curated record.